RNAcentral lists this ribosomal RNA (412 nucleotides) under uncultured bacterium. RNAcentral's name for it is "bacterial SSU rRNA". It matches the Rfam family "Bacterial small subunit ribosomal RNA", at positions 355 to 791 of the family's 1533-position model. The record is from RNAcentral.
UAGGGAAUAUUGGACAAUGGACGAAAGUCUGAUCCAGCCAUGCCGCGUGAGUGACGAAGGUCUUCGGAUUGUAAAACUCUUUUAUGAGGGAAGCGGUACCUCAGGAAUAAGGGACGGCUAACUCCGUGCCAGCAGCCGCGGUAAUACGGAGGUCCCGAGCGUUGUUCGGAAUUACUGGGCGUAAAGGGGGCGCAGGCGGACAGGUCAGUGGAAAGUGGAAGCCCGGGGCUCAACCCCGGAAAGCCUUUCCAUACUGCCUGUCUUGAGUUCGUGAGAGGAGAGCGGAAUUCAGGGUGUAGCGGUGAAAUGCUUAGAUAUCCUGAGGAACACCAAUGGCGAAAGCAGCUCUCUGGCGCGUUACUGACGCUGAGGCCCGAAAGCGUGGGGAGCGAACGGGAUUAGAUACCCGGGU